This 429-nucleotide ribosomal RNA is filed under the name Chloroflexota bacterium. RNAcentral's name for it is "Chloroflexi bacterium partial 16S ribosomal RNA". It matches the Rfam family "Bacterial small subunit ribosomal RNA", at positions 355 to 776 of the family's 1533-position model. The record is from RNAcentral. Lineage: Bacteria; Bacillati; Chloroflexota.
UGGGGAAUAUUGCACAAUGGGCGCAAGCCUGAUGCAGCCAUGCCGCGUGUAUGAAGAAGGCCUUCGGGUUGUAAAGUACUUUCAGCGGGGAGGAAGGGAGUAAAGUUAAUACCUUUGCUCAUUGAUGUUACCCGCAGAAGAAGCACCGGCUAACUCCGUGCCAGCAGCCGCGGUAAUACGGCGGGUGCAAGCGUUAAUCGGAAUUACUGGGCGUAAAGCGCACGCAGGCGGUUUGUUAAGUCAGAUGUGAAAUCCCCGGGCUCAACCUGGGAACUGCAUCUGAUAAUGGCAAGCUUGAGUCUCGUAGAGGGGGGUAGAAUUCCAGGUGUAGCGGUGAAAUGCGUAGAGAUCUGGAGGAAUACCGGUGGCGAAGGCGGCCCCCUGGACGAAGACUGACGCUCAGGUGCGAAAGCGUGGGGAGCAAACAGG